RNAcentral lists this ribosomal RNA (261 nucleotides) under uncultured archaeon. RNAcentral's name for it is "partial 16S ribosomal RNA". It matches the Rfam family "Archaeal small subunit ribosomal RNA", at positions 748 to 1009 of the family's 1478-position model. The record is from RNAcentral.
UAGCCGUAAACGAUACUCGCUAGGUGUCGGCCACGGUGCGACCGUUGUCAGUGCCGUAGGGAAGCCGUGAAGCGAGCCACCUGGGAAGUACGGCCGCAAGGCUGAAACUUAAAGGAAUUGGCGGGGGAGCACCACAACGGGUGGAGCUUGCGGUUUAAUUGGAUUCAACGCCGGAAAUCUUACCGGGACCGACAGCAACAUGAAGGCCAAGCUGAAGACUUUGCCGGAUUAGCUGAGAGGAGGUGCAUGGCGUAGUCGUGU